Molecule: transfer RNA, 73 nt
Filed under: Anopheles sinensis
Lineage: Eukaryota; Metazoa; Arthropoda; Insecta; Diptera; Culicidae
Description: tRNA tRNA-Glu
Rfam family: tRNA
About the family: Transfer RNA (tRNA) molecules are approximately 80 nucleotides in length. Their secondary structure includes four short double-helical elements and three loops (D, anti-codon, and T loops).
Source: RNAcentral
UCCCGUAUUGUCUAGUGGUUAGGAUAUCCGGCUCUCACCCGGAAGGCCCGGGUUCGAUUCCCCGGUACGGGAA